This 2458-nucleotide long non-coding RNA is filed under the name Nicotiana tabacum (common tobacco). Its description in RNAcentral is "long non-coding RNA (NTAB_LNC002429)". The record is from RNAcentral. Lineage: Eukaryota; Viridiplantae; Streptophyta; Magnoliopsida; Solanales; Solanaceae.
AGGAGCCCACCUGGAGAACAAGUGAAAACAGUUCAAGCUUUAAGGGAAAGGAAGACAGUCCAAACUUCAGCAGUCAGGCACUUGAAAAACAAGGGAAAAUGGUUCAGGUUUCAAGGGAAAAUAGUUUCAAGUAACAAGAGAAGAUGGUUCAAGUUCAGCAAUUAGGCGCCCACCUGGAGAACAAGGGAAAACAGCUCAAGUUUCAAAGGAAGACAAUUCAAGUUCAGCAAUCAGACGCCCACCUGGAGAACAAGGGAAAGCAACUCAAGUUUCGAAGGAAGACAUGUCAAGUUCAGCAAUUAGGUGCCCACCUGGAAAAUAAGGGAAAAUAACUCAAGUUUCAGGGAAAAGCAGAUCGAGUUUCAGCAGUCAGGCGCCCCCUUGGAGAACAAGGGAAAGCAGCUCAAGUUUCAGGGAAAAGCAGUUCGAGUUUUAGCAAUCAAGCGUCCACUUGGAGAACAAGGGAAAGCAGUUCAAGUGUUGGCAAGCAGGCACCUACCUGGAAAACAAGGGAAUUCACUUCAGAAUGCAAUUCAAGUCCGCAACAAAGGAAGCUCAGCUCGAGAGUACAGGUCAGCAGUUCAAGAUGCACAACAGAGCCCCAGAAGCUGCAAGAUCAAGAUAUGUAGUUAGGACUCUUGUAAUCCAUAGAUCACAGUUUAAUCUAGCUUCUUUUUAUUUAUUUUGUCUCAGUGUAAUAAGGAGAUCUGCAAGCAGUAGCAACAGUGAAAUCACAGUUUCCCGAUGGUCUCAACUACCAAAACUUGCCGAACUACACUGACCUGAUUCCUUUAUAGCCAAGGAUAUGUAGGAAACCUCGAAAGCAAGGUUCGGUCAAAUCUUUCAAAAAAUGCUUCCCACGGAGUAUUCAAACGGGCAAAAAUUACUCGUAUCCGCUCACUUUAUCUUUACCCGAAAACUCUUCUUGUUUCCGAAAAAAGAGGAGCAACUGUGAGCACGUGAUUUUUGCCCUAUUUGAACUACUCCUACAAAUUAAAGAAAAGGAGUUUUUUCUAAUUGUUUGCAAUUUUAUAGGAUUUUUGUAGGAAUUUUUGUUAAAUUAUUGCAUUUUCGUGCAUGUUUACUUUUAUUAAAACAAUAAAAAAUACCAAAAAUACCAUGCAUUGCACUUAGAUUUUGCGUUCACAUUUUUAGGAUUAAUUAAUUAAUUAGUUGUUUUAUUAAAAAUAAAAAUCACAAAAAUGGCUCACUUUUACAUUUUAAUUUUUAAUUUUAGGUUAGUAAAUUUUAUCUUUUAAUCUUGGAGUAACUAAUUUUUAUAAAUAUUAUAAUCAGAUAAUUAGCUUUAUUUUACAUUAGAUUAUUUAGAGUUUAAUUUAGUGUUUUAUUAAUUAGGAAAAAGAAACAAAGAAAAAACAAAACAAAAGGUUUUUCGAAUUGGGCCACCCAAGAAACCCAAUCUGGUGGCCCAAAACCCCUUUUUCAACCCAAAAUCCGCCUAAAUACAUCUCCUACCCAGCCCAACAUACCCCUAACCCGCGACCCGCCCGUCUGACCUACUCCACUCCCCUAACUGAUCUCAGCCCUCCAUCCCAACCCAUCCAACGGCCCAUGUCUUAUCUCACCUUCAUAUAUAAUCCUCUUUAUAACACAAAACAACACCCUAGACCUAAUCCCAUCACAACCAAAAUGGCGCCCACCCCAACUCCGAUUCUUCCUCGCCCAAGCUCGCCCAAACUCGUCCGAGUUUCAGGUAAGUUCAUCUCUAAAAUCUGCACAUGGCCACCUCGUCUCCAUCCCUCUUCCACGUCACCAAACCCUAAUGGUCUCUAACAAAAGAAUAUUCCAAAUCGACAACUACACUCCCUCACUUGCCUGUUUACAAGCUAUAUCACGCGAUUCGAAAGCUCUAGAAGACGUGUGUUUGAUGAGUGAGAGGCGUCAGAUCGAUCUCAUUCAAUUCGAGCCUCACAUUCAUCAUGUGCUCGUUUUCAAAAGGGCCUUAUCCGUUUUCUUGAAGAGGAGGAAGGAAUCUGGAGGUAAAAUAUAUAAAAAGGGAUUUUCGGAAAGAAAAAAAAAAGGAAUAAGGGAUUUUAGGUCAGAGAUUUUUUUGAGAGAAAAGAAAAAUACAGAGUUUUAGUUUUGAUUUUUCAAUCCUUUUUCUUCUUCUGAUUUUUUAGGGAUACAGAAAAAAGACAAAAAAAAAACAAAAAAAUAAGUUGCUUAUUUUCGAUCUAUUCUGCUCAAAUCCGAAAAAUGGGUUCUGUUAUUGGUCCUUGAUUUUGAAUUUGUUUUCUUAAGCAUGGAAAUUGUUUGAAGUUUUGAAGCUGAGAUUGAGGCGUCGCUCGGGUUUCUGCUCUUGCUUUCUUUUUGAAUCUUGUUGCUGCUCAUUUCGAUUUUUGUCAUCGAACUUCACUCGUAGUUUGUAUUCAAGCAAAGCUAAUACAGGUUCAUUGUUGGCUCGGUUUCAUUUUAUUUUUUAUUUUUACUACUGUAG